Molecule: RNA transcript, 2081 nt
Organism: Mercurialis annua (annual mercury)
Lineage: Eukaryota; Viridiplantae; Streptophyta; Magnoliopsida; Malpighiales; Euphorbiaceae
Exons: 5
Source: RefSeq, a predicted model, not a curated record
CUAAUUAUAGGCCCUUUUGGAUUUGUUUCUUUCGUUUCUGAAUUAUUGUUAAUUUAUGGAUUUAUAAUUUUGUUUUCCUGCAUUUUCUCAAUAACCAAACAGAGCUUAGAGUCUAUUCUGUGAUUAUUGCUGAAUCAGUAGUGAAUGGUAUCUAAUGACUGUCUUCUUCUUGUUUAUAUAUUUUACAUGGAAAUAAUGACUCGUGACAUCAUAGCAGCCAUGAGAUUUAAGAAAGGGAGUAAAGUAGAAGUCUUGAGCAAAAACGGUGUCCCUUCAUUCUUCUGGCGUUGUGCGGAGAUUUUAUGUGGCAAUGGCCAUACUUAUACGGUCAGAUUUGAAGGGCAGGCGGGCAUCGUCAGUGAGACAGCAGUGGAGAAGAUACGUAGGAAGGAAAUUCGGCCUCGCCCUCCAUCACCUGAAAUUGUGGAGACUUGGGCUCCUGGAGAUGUGGUAGAGGUGUUUGACGAUUUCUCUUGGAAAAUGGCUACCAUUUUAAAGUUACUAAGCAAACAACGCUUCUUGGUCAGGAUAGUGGGAUCAUCUCUUGAAUUCAAAGUGAGCAUAUUUGGCAUCCGGGCUAGACAGUAUUGGCAAGAUGAGAAAUGGACCGUGAUUGGAAAGGUUUCUGGCAGUUGUGAAGAUGCAAAGCAUGAUGAAAAGUUAACUCUGAAGUGCAAGCGAAAUGUUCAGAACAAUGUUGAAUUGAAAAAAAUAAGAAAGGGUGUUCCCUUUCUUAUGCGGAACAAUGAGAAACUCCAUGAUUCCAACAUUGCCUCUUGUAGAACUUUGAAGCGAGGACCUUAUGACUUUAAACCAGUUGAAACAUACGAUGGUGCUGUCCAAAAGUAUAGAUCAGUUGAAAAAGAGGGCAGGCUCCAUCGACUGAUUGCAACAAAUCAGUAUUUAUUUUCAGAAGAUGUAGAUGAUGUUGCAUUACCAAAGGAAAGGACGGGUGAAAAAUUCAUACAUUCUUCUCUAUACAGCCAAACUGAUCUUACUGAAAUGGAUAUGGAGAGAAGAAAACAAACUGGUGCUGUUGGAUGUUCUUCUGCAAUAGAAUUAGAAUCCAAUGACGAAGAUAGUGUCACUAGCUCCAUCGGCAGUUGUAGCAUCACUAGGAACAAUUACUUUAGAAUACAUCAUCAAGCGGGUUUUAUUGACGGUGAUUGUAGUGAUGCAGAAUCUUUCUGUCACCGGGGAUAUGAGGAAGGAAAUAUUUUCAUUCCCACAAAGGAGGAAUUAGCCGCUGAAGUCCAUAGAUUAGAAUUGCAUGCCUACCGAUGCACUAUGGAGGCAUUAUAUGCAUCAGGGCCUUUGAGUUGGGAGCAAGAAGCAAUGGUGACGAAUCUCCGUCUUUCCCUCCAUAUAUCAAAUGAUGAACAUUUGGUGGAGUUGAAUGUAGAUCAAACAGGUAUAAACACUUAAGAGUGUCAGAUUUAAGCAAGGGAACCCUGGACUGACAAUCUGUUAGGAAACAACGAACUUCUCCAGCGAAAGGUAGUGCUUUAUGUGAUUGGAAGGCUGGAAGCAAAUGCGAGUUGUCAGAGAUCAUGUAUCAGCAGGAACGGAGCAAGAUCACAUGUGCAUCUUAAGCUCCAUCAGUUGUAAAUCGAGGCAGCAGAAUUCUAAGUAGCAUAGUGUAUCAGCAGAAAAGUAGAGCUAUAUUAUAUUGUGGAGCACGCGGAUGAAGAAAAAAUGACCACUGCAGUUUAUACGGAUUGAAACUGUUGAAAUUUGAACUAAGCGUGAAUAAAUGUACGUAUCUAAUAACUCAAAAUUCUUAGUGUAGCAUCAAAUGGAAUUUUUGCUGGUGUUAAUUAUGAGAAUCUAUGGUCAUAAUGCAUAUUCUUGUAUGCUGUGUGUCAAUUACUAGUUGAUUGUAAAAUGGUAAACCGGGGCCAGUAAAUUUGUGUCUGCAGCAGAUUUUCUACUCUUAACAGCCCUUUUGCUGUCUUGAAGAUCAAGUGCAAUUCUUUGGUAUCACAAAUGAUGUCUUACUUUUUAACAUUUUAAUGUGACACUACCAAAAAAAUGUUAAUUUUAUUUGUUGAAGCAAUCAUGGAAUUGCUGUUUAUGGUCUA